RNAcentral lists this transfer RNA (96 nucleotides) under Pectobacterium odoriferum. RNAcentral describes it as "tRNA-Und (NNN) (tRNA-Und-NNN-1-1)". It matches the Rfam family "transfer-messenger RNA", at positions 274 to 374 of the family's 374-position model. From Rfam's summary of the family: Bacterial tmRNA, also known as 10Sa RNA or SsrA, is named for its dual tRNA and mRNA-like properties. Its role is to liberate the mRNA from a stalled ribosome. RNAcentral also lists the same sequence under 2 other names. The record is from RNAcentral. Lineage: Bacteria; Pseudomonadati; Pseudomonadota; Gammaproteobacteria; Enterobacterales; Pectobacteriaceae.
UUCGCAGCUGGCAAGCGAAUGUAAAGAUAGACUAAGCAUGUAGUACCGACGGUAGAGUGGUUCCGGACGGGGGUUCAAAUCCCCCCAGCUCCACCA